AGCGGGUGAAAAGCCCGCUCGCCGGAAGACCAAGGGUUCCUGUCCAACGUUAAUCGGGGCAGGGUGAGUCGACCCCUAAGGCGAGGCCGAAAGGCGUAGUCGAUGGGAAACAGGUUAAUAUUCCUGUACUUGGUGUUACUGCGAAGGGGGGACGGAGAAGGCUAUGUUGGCCGGGCGACGGUUGUCCCGGUUUAAGCGUGUAGGCUGGUUUUCCAGGCAAAUCCGGAAAAUCAAGGCUGAGGCGUGAUGACGAGGCACUACGGUGCUGAAGCAACAAAUGCCCUGCUUCCAGGAAAAGCCUCUAAGCAUCAGGUAACAUCAAAUCGUACCCCAAACCGACACAGGUGGUCAGGUAGAGAAUACCAAGGCGCUUGAGAGAACUCGGGUGAAGGAACUAGGCAAAAUGGUGCCGUAACUUCGGGAGAAGGCACGCUGAUAUGUAGGUGAAGUCCCUCGCGGAUGGAGCUGAAAUCAGUCGAAGAUACCAGCUGGCUGCAACUGUUUAUUAAAAACACAGCACUGUGCAAACACGAAAGUGGACGUAUACGGUGUGACGCCUGCCCGGUGCCGGAAGGUUAAUUGAUGGGGUCAGCGCAAGCGAAGCUCUUGAUCGAAGCCCCGGUAAACGGCGGCCGUAACUAUAACGGUCCUAAGGUAGCGAAAUUCCUUGUCGGGUAAGUUCCGACCUGCACGAAUGGCGUAAUGAUGGCCAGGCUGUCUCCACCCGAGACUCAGUGAAAUUGAACUCGCUGUGAAGAUGCAGUGUACCCGCGGCAAGACGGAAAGACCCCGUGAACCUUUACUAUAGCUUGACACUGAACAUUGAGCCUUGAUGUGUAGGAUAGGUGGGAGGCUUAGAAGUGUGGACGCCAGUCUGCAUGGAGCCGACCUUGAAAUACCACCCUUUAAUGUUUGAUGUUCUAACGUUGACCCGUAAUCCGGGUUGCGGACAGUGUCUGGUGGGUAGUUUGACUGGGGCGGUCUCCUCCUAAAGAGUAACGGAGGAGCACGAAGGUUGGCUAAUCCUGGUCGGACAUCAGGAGGUUAGUGCAAUGGCAUAAGCCAGCUUGACUGCGAGCGUGACGGCGCGAGCAGGUGCGAAAGCAGGUCAUAGUGAUCCGGUGGUUCUGAAUGGAAGGGCCAUCGCUCAACGGAUAAAAGGUACUCCGGGGAUAACAGGCUGAUACCGCCCAAGAGUUCAUAUCGACGGCGGUGUUUGGCACCUCGAUGUCGGCUCAUCACAUCCUGGGGCUGAAGUAGGUCCCAAGGGUAUGGCUGUUCGCCAUUUAAAGUGGUACGCGAGCUGGGUUUAGAACGUCGUGAGACAGUUCGGUCCCUAUCUGCCGUGGGCGCUGGAGAACUGAGGGGGGCUGCUCCUAGUACGAGAGGACCGGAGUGGACGCAUCACUGGUGUUCGGGUUGUCAUGCCAAUGGCACUGCCCGGUAGCUAAAUGCGGAAGAGAUAAGUGCUGAAAGCAUCUAAGCACGAAACUUGCC
Molecule: ribosomal RNA, 1497 nt
Filed under: Escherichia coli
Lineage: Bacteria; Pseudomonadati; Pseudomonadota; Gammaproteobacteria; Enterobacterales; Enterobacteriaceae
Description: partial 23S ribosomal RNA
Rfam family: Bacterial large subunit ribosomal RNA
Source: RNAcentral